Molecule: unclassified non-coding RNA, 354 nt
Filed under: soil metagenome
Description: partial contains 5.8S ribosomal RNA, internal transcribed spacer 2, and large subunit ribosomal RNA
Rfam family: 5.8S ribosomal RNA (bases 1-120)
Source: RNAcentral
GAUGAAGAACGCAUCGAAAUGCGAUAAGUAAUGUGAAUUGCAGAAUUCAGUGAAUCAUCGAAUCUUUGAACGCACAUGGCGCCUUCCAGUAUCCUGGGAGGCAUGCCUGUCCGAGCGUCGUUUCAACCCUCGAGCCCCCGUGGCCCGGCGUUGGGGAUCUGCCCAGGCAGUCCCCGAAAACCAGUGGCGGACCCGUUACAGGCCCUUCCCUUGCGUAGUAGCAUUCGCCUCGCAUCGGGAGCCGGCGGGCUUCCAGCCUCUAAACCCCCAUCAAGUCCGCCCCGGCGGCACCAAGGUUGACCUCGGAUCAGGUAGGAAUACCCGCUGAACUUAAGCAUAUCAAUAAGCGGAGGA